This 770-nucleotide long non-coding RNA is filed under the name Marmota monax (woodchuck). The record is from RNAcentral. Lineage: Eukaryota; Metazoa; Chordata; Mammalia; Rodentia; Sciuridae.
AUGUUUCAAUAUAUUAGUUAAUAGGAAAAAAAAACCUUGAGAAGUAUAACUGAUAUAACCAAAAGAAAAGCAGGCAACACACACUGUCUAUGAGAGCUACCAGAUUUUCAAUUUAACAACAGUAAACAAGAAAUCAAAGUAUCUCUCAUAAACAUGCUCACAGAAUUAAAUAAAAGCAUGAUAAAGGAAGCAAAAGAAGGUAUAACAAUGUCAUUAAGUCAGAAUAUUAACAUAAUGAUAAAAAUAAUAAACACUAAUCACAUGGAAAUUUUGCAGUUAAAGAGUACAAUAACUGAAUAAAGUAAAAUCAUUAGAGGCACUUGCCAGUAGAUUUUAACUGGUAGAUUAGAACAAAAGAAUUAAGAGAAAUAUAAAAGUUAGUGAACUUGAAUAUAUAUUUAAAGAAGUGAAUUAAGCUAAAGAACAGUAACAACAAAAAUUGAAGAAAGUCCAAUAGAACAUCUAAGAAAUAAGAAAGCUGGAUUUAAGGUAGUGGGAUAACAGAUUAAAAACGUUUAAAAACAACAUAAUAUUUUACCUAGAAUUCUAUAUUCAGUCAAAUUAGCUUUCAAAGAGAGACAAAAUUAAAAUAUGUAUGAUAAAGCCAAGAGCAAACACUGACAUUUUUUUUCAAAAAUCAUACAGUGAAAUAAGCAUUAAAAGGGAUCAUAGACCUAUAUGUAAGUGAGAAAUAAUAAAACUCCUAGAGCUGGGUGUGGUAGUGCACACCUGUAAUCCCAGCAGCUUCGAGGGUGAGCCAGGAGGAGCAA